GAUGAACGCUGGCGGCGUGCCUAAUACAUGCAAGUCGAGCGAACAGACGAGGAUCUUGCUCCUCUGACGUUAGCGGCGGACGUGUGAGUAACACGUGGAUAACCUACCUAUAAGACUGGGAUAACUUCGGGAAACCGGAGCUAAUACCGGAUAAUAUAUUGAACCGCAUGGUUCAAUAGUUAAAUACGGUUUUUCUUUCACUUAUAGAUGUAUCCGCGCCGCAUUAGCUAGUUGGUAAGGUAACGGCUUACCAAGGCAACGAUGCGUAGCCGACCUGAGAGGGUGAGAGGCAAAACGGGAACGGAGACACGGAAAAGACUCCUACGGGAGGCAGCAGUAGGGAAUAUUACGCAAUGGGCGAAAGCAUGACGGAGCAACGCCGCGUGAGUGAUGAAGGUCUUCGGAUCGUAAAACUCUGUUAUUAGGGAAGAAAAAAUGUGUAAGUAACUAUGCACGUCUUGACGGUAACUAAUCAGAAAGCCACGGCUAACUACGUG
Molecule: ribosomal RNA, 497 nt
Filed under: uncultured bacterium
Lineage: Bacteria
Description: partial 16S ribosomal RNA
Rfam family: Bacterial small subunit ribosomal RNA
Source: RNAcentral